This 497-nucleotide ribosomal RNA is filed under the name uncultured bacterium. Its description in RNAcentral is "partial 16S ribosomal RNA". It matches the Rfam family "Bacterial small subunit ribosomal RNA", at positions 28 to 507 of the family's 1533-position model. The record is from RNAcentral.
GACGAACGCUGGCGGCGUGCCUAAUACAUGCAAGUUGAGCGAUGAAGAUUGGUGCUUGCACCAAUUUGAAGAGCAGCGAGCGGGUGAGUAACGCGUGGGGAAUCUGCCUUUGAGCGGGGGACAACAUUUGGAAACGAAUGCUAAUACCGCAUAACAACUUUAAACAUAAGUUUUAAGUUUGAAAGAUGCAAUUGCAUCACUCAAAGAUGAUCCCGCGUUGUAUUAGCUAGUUGGUGAGGUAAAGGCUCACCAAGGCGAUGAUACAUAGCCGACCUGAGAGGGUGAUCGGCCACAUUGGGACUGAGACACGGCCCAAACUCCUACGGGAGGCAGCAGUAGGGAAUCUUCGGCAAUGGACGAAAGUCUGGCCGAGCAACGCCGCGUGAGUGAAGAAGGUUUUCGGAUCGUAAAACUCUGUUGGUAGAGAAGAACGUUGGUGAGAGUGGAAAGCUCAUCAAGUGACGGUAACUACCCAGAAAGGGACGGCUAACUACGUG